Passer domesticus (house sparrow) is the source of this 722-nucleotide long non-coding RNA. RefSeq lists it as uncharacterized. The record is from RefSeq and is a predicted model, not a curated record. The transcript has 3 exons. Lineage: Eukaryota; Metazoa; Chordata; Aves; Passeriformes; Passeridae.
GCUGGAUUGUGAAUUCAUGCACAGAACCAGACCUUCUCUACACCUAAUGCCAAAAAAAGCCUGCAAAGUUCUCCUCUGUUACAAAGCAACACACAAAGCCCUCCUAGUCCAUCACCUGUUGCUCAAGGCAUCUAAGAGUAGAAACACACUGAGCCCCUGGAGCCCACACUGAGAAGCUGAGCACUGAGAAGGGACCAGGAUAAAUCAGAAAACAAGGAGAAGAAGCACUGCUUUAAUUACAUUUAGAGGUUUCUCCUAGAGCAGUGUCCCUGGUAUGGCAGCAUGGCUGUUUGUUCCUGAAUUAGUCAACCAUCCUAGCAGGACCUUGUAGCUAAUGACUACAAUAGCAAGUAUGGCUUUGAGUGCCACAGAGGUAAGAGAGCAAGAAAGAAAACAGAGCCAUGUCUGUAGGAGUGUGCACCCUAAUGGCAGAGUGGCAAAACUAGCCUUUGUCCCCGAAAAAAGGAAAGAAGGCCAAAAGUUUCUCUCAAGGAUUAGGUGAAAAGCCACCUCAUGGGACCUCAGGGACUUCACCAAAUACUUGAGGACAUCUAAUUGGAUAGAAGCCAAAAAGUCCUGCUUGAUCCAUCAGGGAGAAAAAGAAGAGAAAAGAGCUAAGUGCUUUUGUGAGGUGUUUUUACCAGGAGCAGACCUCUGCACCUGGCUCGAGUUUUUCUCUUUGUUAUUAUGCCUUUUAUUAAACCUUUUUGUUUCUAACACUG